CCGAAGAAGCUGUGAGAAGUUCAUUAAACCUUAUCAUUUAGAGGAAGGAGAAGUCGUAACAAGGUUUCCGUAGGUGAACCUGCGGAAGGAUCA
This 93-nucleotide ribosomal RNA is filed under the name Interfilum sp. SAG 2101. Its description in RNAcentral is "partial 18S ribosomal RNA". It matches the Rfam family "Eukaryotic small subunit ribosomal RNA", at positions 1736 to 1828 of the family's 1831-position model. The record is from RNAcentral. Lineage: Eukaryota; Viridiplantae; Streptophyta; Klebsormidiophyceae; Klebsormidiales; Klebsormidiaceae.